RNAcentral lists this long non-coding RNA (538 nucleotides) under Elaeis guineensis (African oil palm). RNAcentral's name for it is "long non-coding RNA (EGUI_LNC061241)". The record is from RNAcentral. Lineage: Eukaryota; Viridiplantae; Streptophyta; Magnoliopsida; Arecales; Arecaceae.
GGGGCGUGACAACUUUUAUGGUAUUAGAGCAUUAGUGGAUGAAUUAUAACAUAUAGAAUGAAACAUAGGAUAAGUGUAGAUGGGUAGACACUAAAGACAUUGAUGUGUAUAUCUAUGAUGAUUGUAGCAUAAGGUAUCUUUAUAAUUUUUGGUUAAAUCUUAUGAUUAUUUAUGAAAGGACUACAAGGGAUUACGACAUAUAAAGUUUGAUAUAUGACAGGCAAUCUAUGGAUUAUGGUAUAAUUAGUUGAUUUUGAUCUAAAUAAUUGUAAGAUGAUUGAUCAUGUAAUUUUAUCAUACAUUGUGAUUAUUAUUGAUCAUUAAUAGUUGGAGUGAAUUGCAAGCUUAAACUUGAUAUGAGAGGCAAACUAUAUGAUAUUGCCUCUGGCUUUGAAGUUAAUUACUUAAUGGCAAGAUAAGUAUUCAUUCUUGGAAAGUUGUCUAUGAUUUGGACUAAGAAAAGAAGAAUCUUUUAUGAUAUUUGAUUAGAAUAUUUUUUGAAGUUGAACUUGAUAUGCGGAUCAUGUAUAAACUGGCA